Long non-coding RNA from Gossypium raimondii (Peruvian cotton), 549 nucleotides. RefSeq lists it as uncharacterized. NCBI's taxonomy places the organism in Eukaryota, Viridiplantae, Streptophyta, Magnoliopsida, Malvales, Malvaceae. The record is from RefSeq and is a predicted model, not a curated record. The transcript has 2 exons.
UAAGAAAACAAAAUUCCUUUAAAAACAUCUUUAUUCCAUUUUCUUUAAAGAACAGAGGGGAAAAGGGGGGGGUUCUCUGCUAGGUUUUUUCUUAGCACCCUCCCCACACGUCGCCACCAUCAAAGAUCCACCGCCGCUGAGCCGUCCCUUGGCCUCCGACGACGCUCCGGCGACACCAGGUAGAAACGGCGUUGUGCGAAGCUGCUGAUCGUGGGUGAAGCGACGUGGGAGUGAUGGGCAGUUGCUGCAGCGUGGGGCAUUGUUGCGAGGGAAGAACGUGGGCAGUUGCGGUUGCUGCGGCGCUGAGGCACAAAAGCUGCCUAGGGCUGCUGUUGAAAAUUGUUAGGGCUAGGUAUUGGGCCAGUGUUGGAUUAUUGUAUUUGGGCCGAUGGGUUUGGGUUUGAUGUAAUCUGGGCUUUAGUUUUAGUUGGGCCCGGGUAAAAUUGGGUGUUACAGUGUUUAUAUUUUUAAAAUUGCAUUUCGGGUUAAUGUGUAAAAUUCACCUAAUUUAUUCUCAUUUACAUUCAAAUUACUUAUGUUUUGGAUAAA